This 2058-nucleotide long non-coding RNA is filed under the name Chinchilla lanigera (long-tailed chinchilla). RNAcentral describes it as "lncRNA (ENSCLAG00000026845.1)". Lineage: Eukaryota; Metazoa; Chordata; Mammalia; Rodentia; Chinchillidae. The record is from RNAcentral.
AUUUUAUGUAAUGUUCAAUUUUUGUGUUUACUGGUUCUGCAUUUUCCUUGUGUAGAUGAAGAUCCAAUUUGGAGAUGAAUAUAUGGGUAGCUGGGCUGUGGAAAGCACAGAGGAAUGAAGUUACUGGAAUGGGAAAAGAGACAUGUUCCAGGGAAGAGUUUGUUACUUGUGCUGUGUGGUUUAAAACCUGCUGUAGUUUUCCACAAGCUGCCUACGUUUCAGAAUGCGGGAGGAACAAAUUCAGAAGUCAGCGGCUAUCAUUUCAUGUCUUCGUAAGCAAGGCGGUAGGCAGGCGCCAAACUUGUUAUUCACCUUGACCAUCUUGUGGUCCUGGCUCUGUCCCACUGACGUGUGGGAUGCCUGGAAGGACAGGAGUGACGAUCACAAGACAGUGUCUUACUCAGGGCCUUGUACUGAGAGAUGCUCAGGGAAGAUUUGACACUAGUCUUCAUUUUAUCGAGCUGGAACACAUCUGCAGGAAAUCUCCGGUGCUUUGAACAGCAGCCUUCAAGUAGUCCUGCAGGGUAGCUGUUUCCUGUUCUUGCUCAAGCAGGGGACAGACUUGUCUCUGAUGGUGCAAGUAGAGAACAGCCAUUGUCCAGUGUGAUGGUCCUGUUCACUCCCGCAGGGCGGCACAAUACGUGUACUCCCCAGGAAUUGCAGAUGAGGCAAGCGUUGGGGUGAAGACUGUGUGGGGGCCUGGCGGGCUGCACAGCUGUAAGCGCCCCGUCCCUCAGGGGCCAUUCGUUCAACUCCAUUGCUGCUGACCUCUGAUUUUCCUGAAAUGGCACGCAGACACAGCGACGUUACACGAGGGCCGGAAGUCUGUAGUGUUACCGCGAGGGCCACCCGCUCGUCUCCUCUGAUGCUUCCUGGAUCAGGUCUUGCUGUCAUUUCACGUGGAAGACAUCACCUGUACUUAGAAUCACACUGAGAUCUUCCAGCAUGAGUUUUCCUAUUACUGCAUAUUCAUUAAUAAUCCAACCCUCCAUGUAAUUGCUAUUGAUUCUCACAGAGUAGACAUUUAGAGAUUUAGUUGACUUUAUUUAAAGUCUAAAUUUAGAAAUUCUUGGUAGGUGAAGCAUGUUUGUUCAAGGGUCUGUAAUCCAGUAAUUCAACUCCUGUUCUUUCACACAUAAAAUUAAUCCUUCCCAGUAGGUACUAUUGCCUGACUGGAGAAGGUUGAGAGUUAUUGGCAGAUGGCUAUCUGUGUUGUUCAUUGGUAGUUUAUUUUUUUUUACUUGAACAAGUCAAGCAUUUUGGUAGGAGAAUAUAUUUUGCUGAUUCUAUCAGGUUUCCUUUGGCUGUGUUCCAAUUUGUGAGCUUAGGGGGCUUCCUGUGGACAAUAAUUGUGGUUGAUGUGGAGGAAGGAUGAAAUAUAUUACCCUCACCUUUUCAGAAAAAAAAGAAUGUGGCUUUCUUCCCUCCUCUCCAGCCAGCUGUCAGAUUUGAAUGCCUGCCCUAGUUUGCCCUGUCAUAUGUUGUGUUAGUGGGCUGAGUGAUGGGAGCUGGCACCAGCCCUUUAGCGUGAUUGCCAGUUGCCAGACACACCCUACAACUCUUGUCACAGAUAUCUAAGGAAACCGGAUGUUAUGGCUUGUGUCUAGAUUCCCCCCAAAGCCUCAUGCAGUCGUAGCUGGGGAGUUUCAGAGGUGGCUGGAUUAGGGUGAAUGUGGAUUAAGAGUGUGAUACUGGGAUUAACUGUGUGAUGCUGGAAUUAAGCGUGCCCUACCCUGGGGUGGAUGGAACCACCCCAAAGGCUUACAGUCUUGAUGGAAUAUAAAAGCAGAAAUGGAAGACAGGCUAAUGCAGCUUCUGCUUACUGCUGCUCUGUUGCUUUGCUGCCUUCUGCUUGCCUUACUUUGCCAUGAACUGUUUGUCGUCGUAGUCCCCCUCUGCCGUGUCACCCUGCCCGGGAGCCAGCCAUGGACUGAAACCUGUAUGAAAUGUGAGCCGAAAUAAACCUUACCUCAUCUCACUUUGGGGGUUGAGUAUUUUGUCUCAGCAGUGAAUAAAGUCACGAAAACACAGGGCAACAGAUUUGCCUUUGGGUUUCAG